Molecule: ribosomal RNA, 487 nt
Filed under: uncultured bacterium
Lineage: Bacteria
Description: bacterial SSU rRNA
Rfam family: Bacterial small subunit ribosomal RNA
Source: RNAcentral
GUCAUGGCUCAGAAUGAACGCUGGCGGCAUGGAUUAGGCAUGCAAGUCGAACGAGAAAGCGCCUUCGGGCGCGAGUAAAGUGGCGCAAGGGUGAGUAACACGUGAGGAACCUGCCCCCGAGCCCGGAACAAGCCUGGGAAACCGGGUCUGAAACCGGAUGAGGCCCCCCGGCCGCAUGGUCGGCGGGCCAAAUAUUCAUAGCUUGGGGAUGGCCUCGCGUCCCAUUAGCUUGUUGGCGGGGUGACGGCCCACCAAGGCGACGACGGGUAGGUGGUCUGAGAGGAUGGUCACCCACACUGGGACUGAGACACUGCCCAGACUCCUACGGGAGGCUGCAGUCGAGAAUCUUCCGCAAUGGGCGCAAGCCUGACGGAGCGAUGCCGCGUGAGGGACGAAGGCCCUAGGGUUGUAAACCUCUGUCGUCCGGGACGAAACCAAUGACGGUACCGGGCAAGAAAGCCACGGCUAACUACGUGCCAGCAGCAGC